AAAAAAAAAUUGGUUUGUUUUUUUGGCUGUUCUAUGAUGAUUAUAUUGCUUUAACCACACUGAAAAGAUGGGCUUGAGAAUGUGAUGUGGUUCUUCUUGAUUUAAUCCAAAGAAAGAGUUCUUGAGCUAUAUGUAUUGCUUGAUGACACUUUGAUCUAAAAUACUUGAAGGGGAUUUGUUUCCCUUUGUGUUUUAGAUCAAGGAAGAGAUCAGUGUAGAGCUCUUGUUCGAUAUUUUUCUUAGUUUAAAUCUUGAAGAACAUUAUCAUUUUCUCAAGCACUCAUAUGUGGAAUCAUUGUGCCCUUUGUCUGAGAAGCAGCUAUGAAUUCUGUUUUUGUCUUCGAUAUUGUUAAACGUAGCUGAUUUGUAAGAUUACUUUGU
RNAcentral lists this small RNA (381 nucleotides) under Arabidopsis thaliana (thale cress). Its description in RNAcentral is "ATSL250180". The record is from RNAcentral. Lineage: Eukaryota; Viridiplantae; Streptophyta; Magnoliopsida; Brassicales; Brassicaceae.